This 812-nucleotide ribosomal RNA is filed under the name uncultured bacterium. Its description in RNAcentral is "bacterial SSU rRNA". It matches the Rfam family "Bacterial small subunit ribosomal RNA", at positions 102 to 914 of the family's 1533-position model. The record is from RNAcentral.
ACGGGUGAGUAACACGUAUGCAACCUGCCUUCAACAAGGGGAUAACCCGUUGAAAGACGGACUAAUACCCUAUAACACAGGGGUCCCGCAUGGGGAUAUUUGUUAAAGGACAACCGGUUGAAGAUGGGCAUGCGUUCCAUUAGCUAGUUGGCGGGGUAAGGGCCCACCAAGGCAACGAUGGAUAGGGGAACUGAGAGGUUUGUCCCCCACACUGGAACUGAGACACGGACCAGACUCCUACGGGAGGCAGCAGUGAGGAAUAUUGGUCAAUGGACGAGAGUCUGAACCAGCCAAAUCGCGUGAAGGAAGACUGCCCUACGGGUUGUAAACUUCUUUUGUACAGGAAUAAAAGACAUUACGUGUAAUGUAUUGCAUGUACUGUACGAAUAAGCAUCGGCUAACUCCGUGCCAGCAGCCGCGGUAAUACGGAGGAUGCGAGCGUUAUCCGGAUUUAUUGGGUUUAAAGGGUGCGCAGGCGGGAUUUUAAGUCAGCGGUGAAAUUUUCAGGCUCAACCUGAACACUGCCGUUGAAACUGGGAUUCUUGAGUAUGGAUGAAGUAGGCGGAAUUCGUUGUGUAGCGGUGACAUGCUUAGAUAUAACGAGGAACUCCGAUUGCGUAGGCAGCUUACUAAGCCAUAACUGACGCUCAAGCACGAAAGCGUGGGGAUCAAACAGGAUUAGAUACCCUGGUAGUCCACGCCGUAAACGAUGAUUACUAGUUGUUUGCGAUAUACCGUAAGUGACUAAGCGAAAGCGACAAGUAAUCCACCUGGGGAGUACGCCGGCAACGGUGAAACUCAAAUGAAUUGAC